This 467-nucleotide ribosomal RNA is filed under the name uncultured bacterium. RNAcentral's name for it is "partial 16S ribosomal RNA". It matches the Rfam family "Bacterial small subunit ribosomal RNA", at positions 29 to 507 of the family's 1533-position model. The record is from RNAcentral.
ACGAACGCUGGCGGCGUGCUUAACACCUGCCAGUCGAACGGAAAGGCCCUGCUUUUGUGGGGUGCUCGAGUGGCGAACGGGUGAGUAACACGUGAGUAACCUGCCCUUGACUUUGGGAUAACUUCAGGAAACUGGGGCUAAUACCGGAUAGGAGCUCCUGCUGCAUGGUGGGGGUUGGAAAGUUUCGGCGGUUGGGGAUGGACUCGCGGCUUAUCAGCUUGUUGGUGGGGUAGUGGCUUACCAAGGCUUUGACGGGUAGCCGGCCUGAGAGGGUGACCGGCCACAUUGGGACUGAGAUACGGCGCAGACGCCUACGGGAGGCAGCAGUGGGGAAUAUUGCACAAUGGGCGGAAGCCUGAUGCAGCAACGCCGCGUGCGGGAUGACGGCCUUCGGGUUGUAAACCGCUUUCGCCUGUGACGAAGCGUGAGUGACGGUAAUGGGUAAAGAAGCACCGGCUAACUACGUG